Molecule: ribosomal RNA, 433 nt
Filed under: uncultured bacterium
Lineage: Bacteria
Description: partial 16S ribosomal RNA
Rfam family: Bacterial small subunit ribosomal RNA
Source: RNAcentral
AAUGAACGCUGGCGGCAUGCCUAACACAUGCAAGUCGAACGAAGGCUUCGGCCUUAGUGGCGCACGGGUGCGUAACGCGUGGGAAUCUGCCCCUUGGUUCGGAAUAACAGUUAGAAAUGACUGCUAAUACCGGAUGAUGACGUAAGUCCAAAGAUUUAUCGCCGAGGGAUGAGCCCGCGUAGGAUUAGCUAGUUGGUGUGGUAAGAGCGCACCAAGGCGACGAUCCUUAGCUGGUCUGAGAGGAUGAUCAGCCACACUGGGACUGAGACACGGCCCAAACUCCUACGGGAGGCAGCAGUGGGGAAUAUUGGACAAUGGGCGAAAGCCUGAUCCAGCAAUGCCGCGUGAGUGAUGAAGGCCUUAGGGUUGUAAAGCUCUUUUACCCGGGAUGAUAAUGACAGUACCGGGAGAAUAAGCUCCGGCUAACUCCGUG